CCCCUAGAUGUUCUGGGCCGCACGCGCGCUACACUGAACAGUUCAACAAGUCUUAACCUUGGCCGAUAGGUCUGGGUAAUCUUUGAACGCUGUUCGUGAUUGGGAUAGACCUUUGCAAUUAUGGGUCUUCAACGAGGAAUUCCUAGUAAACGCAAGUCAUCAGCUUGCAUUGAUUACGUCCCUGCCCUUUGUACACACCGCCCGUCGCACCUACCGAUUGAAUGGUCCUGUGAAAUCUCGGGACGGCGGCUCGGUCGCUUGCGUCCGACUGCUGAAACUUGAUUAAACCAUAUCAUUUAGAGGAAGGUGAAGUCGUAACA
RNAcentral lists this ribosomal RNA (320 nucleotides) under uncultured eukaryote. Its description in RNAcentral is "partial 18S ribosomal RNA". It matches the Rfam family "Eukaryotic small subunit ribosomal RNA", at positions 1470 to 1796 of the family's 1831-position model. The record is from RNAcentral.